UGUAGAAACCCAGUUGGUUAGAGCUUGGUGCUGAUAACGCCAAGGUUGCAAGUUCAAUCCCUGUCUGCACAG
Non-coding RNA from Podarcis lilfordi (Lilford's wall lizard), 72 nucleotides. The record is from the annotation of a GenBank genome assembly. Lineage: Eukaryota; Metazoa; Chordata; Lepidosauria; Squamata; Lacertidae.